RNA transcript from Ziziphus jujuba (common jujube), 3104 nucleotides. It is a transcript of the gene named vacuolar protein-sorting-associated protein 37 homolog 1, with no coding region annotated. The transcript is spliced from 5 exons. The record is from RefSeq and is a predicted model, not a curated record. Lineage: Eukaryota; Viridiplantae; Streptophyta; Magnoliopsida; Rosales; Rhamnaceae.
UUCUUUUUAUUUUUUUUAUUUUCUUCACCCGACUUUUCUCUUCUCCUUCAUCACCCUUGCCUCAAAACUGGCUUAUCUCUUCUCAUUCAUCAAGCUUUCUUCACUUAGUUGCCUUUUUGCCAAACAACCCCGUUUCAUCUCUCUAGUCACCAAGUAUUCAAGGUCUAAAAUGUACCAGGACUUUGGGCUAUCAAGGCCAAAAAAGGCGAUGUUUUCCCUCGCCACAAUUCGAAGCCUGCCACAGAGAACCCAUCUCAGAAACCUCCCAAGUUCUACCCCGCUGAUGACGUCAAGAAACUGCUUGUCAACAAGCGCAAGCACAAGCCCACCAAGCUCAGGUUCAAUUCCGAAAAGGUUUGUUUUUUUUUUGUUUUUUAAUAAUGUAUUUAAUGCAUUUAGGCUACAUGUUAUUUGGCUUUCAUUGUUUUGUUAAUUGGGUCUGUGAACUUUUCAAGAUGAGUAUUAUACCGGGGAUGGUGUUGAUUGUGUUGGCUGGGAGAUUUAAAGGGAAGAGAGUUGUAUUCCUGAAGCAACUUUCAUUUGGCUUGCGUCCGGUGGGCAAGACCGAUCCAUACGUUUUUUUAAGCCUAGGGGACCAAGUCAUACGCAGCAAAAAGAACAGCGAAACCACAGUCAUUGGACCUCCUGGUGAACCAAUUUGGAAUCAGGUAAAGAUCCUUGUAAUUCUGCUUCGACGUCUGUGUUUAAAUGAAGUUGUAAAAGUUUUUCUAAAUGAUCAUAUAUGUUUAUAUAUAUAUAUAUAUAUAUGUAUAUGUGCUUGCUGGCAGGAUACAGGCAACUAUAGAACAUUGUCUAGUCAUAUGCAUCUUCUAUCAAGUCAUAUAAGAUAUUUGGUGAUGCAGUGGUGUUUGAUACCACUCAUUGCUUGACUGCAGUUGAUAUGCCACUUGGGAUAUGGGUUGGAAUGAAUAAUUAUGGUAUGCCUUGCUUCUUUGGUUGCUUGCUUCAACGAGAAGAAAAUUUGAGGUCUUUUUGAUGGGCAUUGAAGGUAGAACUUGGAAAAGGAGUCGCGCAUUAUGGAGCUUAGAAAUCAGGUAAUAUUUAUCUUGCUUUCUUUAGGUGGUGUCGAAAUUAUUGUAUUGAUUGUGAAACAUUUUCUCCUGUUUGUAUGGUACACAGUGCAUAAUUAUGAGAACAACAGAGUUGGCUGCUACAGAGGAGAAGCUACAUGAGCUUGAUAGACAAAAGGAAGAAAUGUUGAGAUGCAAUGAACAUGACAGAUGAGGAAUCUGAAAAUCUGCACAAGCAGCUUUUUGUGCAGAUAUACAAGAAGCUUCGCAUCACUUAAGCGAGCACUAUUCCCAGCUUGAAAGCUUCUUCCAAUCUCUUUUAAAAUGCGGCUCCAUGGUAGUAUGUCCAUAAGAGAGUAGUCAAGAGGGAAAUUGUGCAGUUGUGGAAAAUAUUUAAAUAAAUGGAUAUGAAAGUGUCGAAUAAAUGGAACCAUCUCCCAUUUCUCAUCUACCCUGAUUUUUCAUUAACUGUCGAAUAAAGUGGAAAAUAUUUAAACAAAUUGUUUUACCAUCUCCCAUUUCUCAUCUACCCUCAUUAACUUCUAUCCCUCUCUCUUCUUCUCCCUGCUACCACAUUCAAUGAAUCCUAUGUGUCUCCCUCUCUCUUUCUCUUUUGUUGGUUACGUACCUUUCAGCCGUUCUUCACACUGACCAACCAUUGCAGAAAACACAAUACCACCUUCAGUGCAGUUCAGUCUCCCUGCAUACCCCCAACCUUUUGUAAUAACAAAAAGACUGAAAAUCUUCAUUGUGGAGCCCAUAGACUUCAAAAUGUGUAAUUAAAGUAUACGUUCGUGCGCAGCAGAGUUAAAGAUUUUGGGUAUGUGCAUAUAUAUAUAUAUACAUAUACAUGUAUAUUUUCCCUUUAUAUUGGAUUCAUUGUUUGUCACGUUUUGACAUGAUAUAAAAGUGCAAGUUAUAUGUUGGUUUGAUUUUAUGUACAACAAUCCAUAAAUGGUUCGGAAAUUUCCAUUUGCAAAUGACAACCUUUAUUCGUUACAUACGGUCCAUCGGUAAUUAUGAAACACUUGCUUGUUGGAAAAUUUAACGAUGGUUCCAUCGGUAAUUACCGACAUUCCAUCGGUAUUUUAAUUUUUCCAUUUUUUGAAAGCAAACCACCUCAAUCGAAUUUGACAACUUUGAUAAUGUUAUUAUAUAUGAAGGACAUGCUAAAUGUAACUAUAUUUAUGAUCGUGAACAAAAUAAUCCACAAAUCACCAAAAUGUCAACAUUGCAUCCAUUCAAGCUAAUGUUAUGUUAUGAUUUAGCACAUGUGUCACAAACUUGACAUGUUAUUCUACUUAAUCCACUAUGUCUGUCAGGAGUUAUGUGGGAUGAACUUUUUUCUCUUUAGGAUGUAAGGAACUGGUGGAAGAUUAUUCACUCAAUUAUAUUUAUGUUGUCAGCAUAUUAUGAUAUGAUGAAGCUCUUUCACUUUAUGUUUCUAUUCAAAAUUUUAAGGACCACAAGGACCACAGCUGUUGUGGUUUGGAUUAUUGCAUGUAAGCAUCAACAUAUUUCGCCAUAUAUCCUUUAUUCGGCGCAUCACUCAGUUGACUCACUCCGUGAUGCAUAUUCAGAAACCAUAUAUCCACUUGGAGAUAAAUAUCAAUGGCAUGCUCUAGAUGAUGUCAUAAACUAGCUUGUACUUCCACCUAAGAUUGGAAAACAGUCAGGAAGACCUAGAAAGAAGAGGAUUCAAUCUCAAGGAGAGGAGCAUCAUCAAUAUAGAUGCGGGAGGUGUAAACAGAUUAGUCACCGCAACCGAUCAUGCUUAGCCGCCAUACCUCUUGAUAGCACUGCCAACCAACAGCACCAUUCAACUGAAGGACCAUAAAUCACUCUACGUUAUAUUAAGACAAUGAGGGCAUGUCAUGUGGUAUGCGUGUGUUAUGCAAUGUAGUAAGGAAUGCAAUUAGUAGCUCAACCGCGUAACAUGUGUUUUGGCAUAAUAGACAUUGGUUUUAUGUGUUGUUUUGUUGGAAAAGUCAUCUGUCGUAUUGUGUUGAUAAAAUAUCAAUGACGCUAAACAGAAAAAAAAACUCCAAAAGUUCGGAAAAAAGCUCUCAAAUU